GUGAUAACCUGCCCUUGGGUCCGGCAUAACCCCGGGAAACUGGGGAUAAUUCCGGAUAACGCAUAUAUGCUGGAAUGCUUUAUGCGUAAAAUGGAUUCGUCCGCCCAAGGAUGGGUCUGCGGCCUAUCAGGUAGUAGUGGGUGUAAUGUACCUACUAGCCUACGACGGGUACGGGUUGUGAGAGCAAGAGCCCGGAGAUGGAUUCUGAGACAUGAAUCCAGGCCCUACGGGGCGCAGCAGGCGCGAAAACUUUACAAUGCGGGAAACCGUGAUAAGGGGACACCGAGUGCUAGCAUCAUAUGCUGGCUGUCCAGGUGUGUAAAAUACACCUGUUAGCAAGGGCCGGGCAAGACCGGUGCCAGCCGCCGCGGUAACACCGGCGGCCCGAGUGGUGAUCGUUAUUAUUGGGUCUAAAGGGUCCGUAGCCGGUUUGGUCAGUCCUCCGGGAAAUCUGAUAGCUCAACUAUUAGGCUUUCGGAGGAUACUGCCAGACUUGGAACCGGGAGAGGUAAGAGGUACUACAGGGGUAGGAGUGAAAUCUUGUAAUCCCUGUGGGACCACCUGUGGCGAAGGCGUCUUACCAGAACGGGUUCGACGGUGAGGGACGAAAGCUGGGGGCACGAACCGGAUUAGAUACCCGGGUAGUCCCAGCCGUAAACGAUGCUCGCUAGGUGCCAGGCAUGGCGCGACCGUGUCUGGUGCCGCAGGGAAGCCGUGAAGCGAGCCACCUGGGAAGUACGGCCGCAAGGCUGAAACUUAAGAU
Molecule: ribosomal RNA, 763 nt
Filed under: uncultured Methanosarcinales archaeon
Lineage: Archaea; Methanobacteriati; Methanobacteriota; Methanomicrobia; Methanosarcinales
Description: bacterial SSU rRNA
Rfam family: Archaeal small subunit ribosomal RNA
Source: RNAcentral